CCCUUAGAUGUUCUGGGCCGCACGCGCGCUACACUGAUGCAUUCAACGAGCACCCGCUGGGCCGAGAGGUCCGGCUAAUCUUUGAACGUGCAUCGUGCUGGGGAUAGAUGAUUGCAAUUAUUCAUCUUCAACGAGGAAUUCCUAGUAAACGCAAGUCAUCAGCUUGCAUUGAUUACGUCCCUGCCCUUUGUACACACCGCCCGUCGCUCCUACCGAUUGAAUGGUCCGGUGAAGCGCUCGGACCGCGGCCUCUUGACGGGUCUCCGUCGAUUGGCUGUGGGAAGUUCGUUAAACCUUAUCAUUUAGAGGAAGGAGAAGUCGUAACA
This 326-nucleotide ribosomal RNA is filed under the name uncultured eukaryote. RNAcentral describes it as "partial 18S ribosomal RNA". It matches the Rfam family "Eukaryotic small subunit ribosomal RNA", at positions 1470 to 1796 of the family's 1831-position model. The record is from RNAcentral.